UACGUAGGGUCCAAGCGUUGUCCGGAGUUACUGGGCGUAAAGAGCGCGCAGGCGGUCGUUCAAGUCGAGUGUGAAAGCCCCCGGCUCAACUGGGGAGGGUCAUUCGAUACUGAUCGACUCGAAGGCAGGAGAGGGAAGUGGAAUUCCCGGUGUAGUGGUGAAAUGCGUAGAUAUCGGGAGGAACACCAGUGGCGAAGGCGACUUCCUGGCCUGUUCUUGACGCUGAGGCGCGAAAGCUAGGGGAGCAAACGGG
RNAcentral lists this ribosomal RNA (253 nucleotides) under uncultured bacterium. Its description in RNAcentral is "partial 16S ribosomal RNA". It matches the Rfam family "Bacterial small subunit ribosomal RNA", at positions 524 to 776 of the family's 1533-position model. The record is from RNAcentral.